Molecule: long non-coding RNA, 608 nt
Filed under: Nicotiana tabacum (common tobacco)
Lineage: Eukaryota; Viridiplantae; Streptophyta; Magnoliopsida; Solanales; Solanaceae
Description: long non-coding RNA (NTAB_LNC012816)
Source: RNAcentral
AUGAAUUGAAAGAUCUGAAGGAAUUAUAAUCAUCUGUUGUUUUACUUACAGACUUUUGUUAAAGGUUGUUAAGUUAUGUAGAUUUUAGUUUGUAGUUCAAUAGAGAAUAUAUUAGCAAGUGUGUAUUUAAUCAAAGCUUAUGUUGAUCUAAACCACGAUAUGCGAUUCGUUUAAUGAUAUACAGGAUGUAACUAUAAUUCAUGGCAUAUGCAACCAUUAGUAUGAUUGUUAAUUCAAACUCGUUCUUCAGCAUGUUUUGAAUAUGUAGGGUGGACGGUCCAUUUCAAUUUCGCAAAAAUACAAUACAACAUUAGGGUUUUAAACCUUAAACUGAACUUUUUCCAUUUACUCAGCAUUAGGGUUUUAAACCCUAAACUGAACUUUCUCCAUUUAGUCAGCAUUAGGGUUUUAAACCCUAAACUGAACUCUUUCCUUUAGUCAACAUUAGGGUUUUGAACCCUAAACUGAACUUUUCCAUUCAGUUAGCAUUAGGGUUUUAAACCCUAAACUGAACUUUUUCCUUCAGUCAUCAUUAGGGUUUUAAACCCUAAACUGAACUUUUCCUUUAGUCAACAUUAGGAUUUUAAACCCUAAACUGAACUUUUUCC